AUGGCCACCUCCAGCGUGGAAAAGAGUAGCAACAAGAAAACCGAGAAGAAACUUGCGGCUCGUGAAGAAGCCAAGCUGCUGGCAGGGUUCCUGGGCGUCAUGAACAACACGAGGAAACAGAGAACAUUAUGUGAUUAUGUGAUGUAAUCCUUAUGGUCCAAGAAAGAAAGAUACCUGUUCACCAUGUUGUCCUGGCUGCAGCCAGUCACUCUUUUAACUUAAUGUUCACAGCUAACAUGCUUGAAUCUACGUCCUUUGAAGUAGAACUCAAAGAUGCUGAACCUGAUAUUAUUGAACAACUGGUGGCAUUUGCUUAUACGGCUAGAAUUUCUGUGAAUAGCAACAAUGUUCAGUCUUUGUUAGAUGCAGCAAAUCAGUACCAGAUUGAACCUGGGAAGAAAAUGUGUGUUGAUUUUUUGAAAGAACAAGUUGAUGCUUCAAAUUGUCUUGGUAGAAGUGUGCUUGCAGAGUGUCUGGACUGUCCUGAACUGAAAGCAACAGCUGUCGACUUUAUUCAUCAGCAUUUCACUGAAGUUUACAAAACCGACGAAUUUCUACAACAUGAUGUCAAGCGAGUGACACAUCUUCUCAGCCAGGACACCCUGACUGUGAGAGCAGAGGACCAGGUUUAUGACGCUGCCGGGAGGUGGUUGAAAUAUGAUGACCCUAACUGCCAGCCAUUCAUGCUAAAGUCAGCCAUUCAUGCUAAAAUCAGGUUUCCUCCUAUAUUGAAGAAUUUCCUAAGUGAAACAGUACAAGCUGAACCACUUAUUCAAGAUAAUUCUGAAUGCCUUAAAAUAGUGAUAAGUGGAAUGAGUUACCAUCUACUGUCUCCUGAGGAUAGAGAAGAACUUGCAGGUGGCACACGGCCUAGAAGAAAGAAACGUGAUUACAGAAUAGCUCUGUUUGGAGGCUCUCAACCACAGUCCUGUAGAUAUUUUAACCCAAAGGAUUACAGUUGGACAGACAUUCACUGCCCCCUUUGAAAAAUGAAGAGAUGCAGCAUGUGUGUUUUGGGACAAUGUAGUAUACUCUUUGGGAGGUUCUCAGUUUUCCCCAGAAAGCGAAUGGAUUGCUACAAUGUUGUAAAGGAUAGCUGGUAUUCCAAACUGGGCCCUCCAACACCUGGAGAAAGCCUUGCUGCCUGUGCUGCAGAAGGCAAAAUUUAUACAUCUGGAGGUUCAGAAGUAGGAAACUCAGCCCUAUAUUUGUUUGAAUGCUAUGAUACAAGAACUGAGAGUUGGCACACGAAGCUCAAUGCUGCUAACUGAGCACUGCAGCCAUGGGAUGGUGGAGGCCAAUGGCCUCAUCUAUGUUUGUGGCGGAAGCUUAGGAAACAAUGUUUCUGGGAGAGUGCUUAGUUCCUGUGAAGUGUAGGAACCUGCCACAAAAACAUGGGCUGAGCUGUGUUCAAUGAUUGAGUCCAGGAAGAAUCAUGGGCUGGUGUUUGUGAAGGGCAAGAUAUUUGCUGUUGGUGGUCAGAAUGGUUUAGGUGGUCUGGACAAUGUGGAAUAUUACGAUAUCAAGUUAAAUGAAUGGAAGAUGGUGUCGCCCAUGCCAUGGAGGGGUGUGACAGUGAAGUGUGCAGCAGUUGGUUCUGUCAUCUGUGUCCUGGAAGGUUUUCAGGGUGUAGGCAGAUUGGGGCACAUCCUUAAGUAUAAUACUGAAACAGACAAGUGGAUUGCCAACUCCAAAGUCUGGGCUUUCCCAGUCACAAGUUAUCUAAUUUGUGUCGUUGAUACUUGUGGAGCAAAUGAAGAGACCCUCGAAACAUGAACGGUGAAUGGACUCCCACGCAUCUGAAACUUAGAGAUAUGGCCACCAGUGGUUUAUUCCAAGAACUUGGUUAUGAAGUUCUGAUCUAAUAUUUUGAUAAAGUAAGAUUCCAGUAAGAUAACAGUUUAUAUUAUCUGGACCUCCUUACUUAAUUCAAAGACCAUAUUCUAUUUGGCCAUGUAACCAAGAACCUAUCAGCCAGAAAACAUGAAAAGUUACAAGCACUUCUUGAAAUCAUGAAUUGCAAAUAUGUAACUGAUUGUGGCAGAGUGGGGCAUGCUCAUCAGAGAAGUAGCCUCAGCUUAGCUCUAGAUUCUGUUUUCAUAAUUGUGUAAGUGCUGUGUAUUUAGGUCUUUUGUUUCAGUUUGGUCAAGAACUAAGUAGUAGUAUGAAUUACAAUCUGAGAUUGUAAACUCUGAUAGAAUAACUGUAAUAGUGUUGUGUAUUUUGCUUGUCUUCACUUAUUUCAUUUAGUGCCAAAUUAUUUCAUUUUAAAGUAAGCAAGAGUAGCUCAGACAUACAUACUUUCUCACAAAACUUCACAGAUUUUUGGGACUUAACUGUACUCAAUUACUCCUGAAAUAUAUUCAGUCCAAUUAAGUGAAAAUUACACAUUUCUGUAUAAAAUAUUAAGCUUAGCACCCAUCAUUAAUUUAUAUGGUUUUACUCAGCAGUGUAAAAAGUGUUCUAUAUCCUCAUUCUCUACUGCGAGAGCCAAUCAGAACGAUUAACCAGCAGAAGAAAAGCUGUUGGUAGAAAUUUCUAGAUUACUAGAAAAGCACUGAUAAUUGUAGCCCAGUAUCAUGUGGAUUUUAAAAAAUACGGUUUUCUUUUCUCCUAGCAGAACACAUUAGAGAUAAGUGAGUUUUCUCUAAAAGGUUUGUAAUAAUUGGCAUUUAAAUAUAUCAUUAUCCAUUGCUUUUAUGUGGACAACAAAUUACCAAAUGGCCUAUUAAUUUUUCCCAGUAAUGUUUUACCCUUUGACUAUGUAUGAAAUGUGCCAUGUUAAACUGUCAAUCAAUGUUUUUAUCUGAUAUUAAAUAUUUU
This is an RNA transcript of Mastomys coucha (southern multimammate mouse), 2823 nucleotides long. It is a transcript of the gene named kelch-like protein 7, with no coding region annotated. Lineage: Eukaryota; Metazoa; Chordata; Mammalia; Rodentia; Muridae. The record is from RefSeq and is a predicted model, not a curated record. The transcript has 2 exons.